Triticum aestivum (bread wheat) is the source of this 887-nucleotide long non-coding RNA. RefSeq lists it as uncharacterized. Lineage: Eukaryota; Viridiplantae; Streptophyta; Magnoliopsida; Poales; Poaceae. The record is from RefSeq and is a predicted model, not a curated record. The transcript is spliced from 5 exons.
UCCCAGCCCCCUCCCCUAACCCUAGCCCCCUCCCCCGCCGCCCACUUCCCCGGCGUCGCCGCCGUCGUCCACCACCACCCCCACCGCGCCCCCACCCUCUCCCCGUUGCUGCCGGCCCUCACCUUCUCCCAAUCCCCUCACCUUCUCUCCCGUGGCCGGUGGAUUCGCCCCUCGCGGGAUCGAUUCCUCCGAGCCGACGGGGUCUUCAGGGCCGGACGGGAGCGACACGUCCCCCAUCGGCGCGUUGGUGAGUGCGGCGGCGGCCGUGACCGAGCUCGAGCCCGUAGCUCAGAUCCUUCAGGGCCGGACGGGAGCGGCGCGUCCCCCAUCGGUGCAUUGGUGAGCGCGGCGGCGGCCGUGGCCAAGCUCGAGCCCGCAGCUCAGAUCCGCAGGAUCCCGUCAAGAGCCUCGGCCCAUCCCAUGGAGAAGAUGUUGCGGCUCUUCUAGCUCCCCUCCCCUGCGCAGGUUGUGGGUACAACCGUAACCAGCAAAUCAGCCACAUCUGCAGCAAAUCAGCCUGAGGAGGUGGAGGAGCAGGCACCCAGAACCAACAUGGUUGCAGGAAUAGCUUUAUAUUAGGAGCAGCUUCUCCACCACCACUCGGCGGUAGAGGGGGUGUGCUUCUUCCCCAACACAACAUAGCGGCAGCCACGGUAUCCUCGGCCCUCUCCCUCUAUCUACCCUCUUCUGUUCCUUACCGAAAAAUCAUUUUUUUACCUUGUAUAAUACUUGUGAUUUGGACCGAUUUGUGUUUUGGGGGGCAUCAAUUUGGUGCUUCCCCCGUCCAUGUGCUGCAGAGAAAAGGAGAAGAAGGGGAUGGAUGAGCAAGGAGCAGAAGGACCUGAAGAAGAAGGGCAAGGGAGGUGGGGCGAUAUGCAUGUCCAGGG